AUCUAGAGAUGAACUUAAAAGCAGAAAACCCCUCAAAAUUCUGGAUUAUUUUCAGACAAGUUCCUUUCUAAUAGCAGGAGAUACUUUGUUUUAUCUGCUACGCGGCAGCUCAACCUCUUAAGCUAACAUCACCAUGUAAAACCAAGUCACACCUCCUUAUCUCUUUUUAGGAAAAAGCCCUCUGCCACGUCCCCUGCAGGGAGUUUUUAAGGUGUAGUACGAAGCAUUUGUGAUGCAAAGUGGUUGACUGCAAAAGUAUCUCCAUAUUUAUUAGGUUACUUUAACAAAAGACAACCAUGGAUACAUUUAAGGAACACUAUAUACACAAUAUAAUUAGUUUUAAAUAGAGAGAUAAAAAAGAGAAAAGUCAGAAAUGUUGGAUGGCGUUUAUUGUUUGCUGUGACAUCCCCUGCUUUGCCCCAGUCUUAGUCCUGCCACACACAGGGUUGUACCUCCUCCCUCCCUCAGACGGUCAUUGCCUCCAUCUCCGUAACCAAUCUGUAAGCACUCGACUGCAGCCGGUGUAGAAGCACACCUCCACAAAGUCCAGCUCUCCUCUGUCAAAAUGCCAGACUCUAACGAAGCCAUAGCCGCGCCGUGCCACGUUAUCAGAGAGUACGUGGACAAGUGUGUCAGAGAGAAGGGAGUAGAAGACUGCAAGGAUCUAAUGGAUGCCUUCCAGGCCUGUAUAAAGACCCUGUCUGAGGGAUCUUAGCAAGAAAUACGCCUCAAUAAAAUCAUCUUUGUUCUUGCACUGGACCGAACCAUCUGAAAAACAAAAGAGGGAGGUGAUGACUGGUAGAUACACAUCCACAAAAAAAAAAAAAAAUCUUUAUAAAUGUCAGAAUUUCACAAUGGAAUAAAUCAUAACACUCUUUUAUGCACUGUACAUUUAUAGGCAAAUAAACAGAGUGUGUAUAUUUUCCACAUGA
Molecule: long non-coding RNA, 932 nt
Organism: Betta splendens (Siamese fighting fish)
Lineage: Eukaryota; Metazoa; Chordata; Actinopteri; Anabantiformes; Osphronemidae
Exons: 3
Source: RefSeq, a predicted model, not a curated record